GGCCCACUGGCGCAAUGGUAGCGCGUCAGAUUCCAGAUUUUCUUAUACCGGAGCUUCCUGAAGGUUAGCCGUUCGAGUCGGCUGUGGGUCA
Molecule: non-coding RNA, 91 nt
Organism: Delitschia confertaspora ATCC 74209
Lineage: Eukaryota; Fungi; Ascomycota; Dothideomycetes; Pleosporales; Delitschiaceae
Source: the annotation of a GenBank genome assembly